This 253-nucleotide ribosomal RNA is filed under the name uncultured bacterium. Its description in RNAcentral is "partial 16S ribosomal RNA". It matches the Rfam family "Bacterial small subunit ribosomal RNA", at positions 524 to 776 of the family's 1533-position model. The record is from RNAcentral.
UACAGAGGGGGCAAGCGUUGUUCGGAAUUACUGGGCGUAAAGGGCGCGUAGGCGGCCAACUAAGUCGGACGUGAAAUCCCUCGGCUUAACCGGGGAACUGCGUCCGAUACUGGAUGGCUGGAGGUUGGGAGAGGGAUGCGGAAUUCCAGGUGUAGCGGUGAAAUGCGUAGAUAUCUGGAGGAACACCGGUGGCGAAGGCGGCAUCCUGGACCAAUUCUGACGCUGAGGAGCGAAAGCCAGGGGAGCAAACGGG